GGGGGUGUAGCUCAGUUGGUUUAGAGCGCUGGCCUGUCACGCCAGAGGUCGCGGGUUCGAGUCCCGUCACUCCCGCCA
This 78-nucleotide transfer RNA is filed under the name Alphaproteobacteria bacterium. RNAcentral describes it as "tRNA-Asp". It matches the Rfam family "tRNA". From Rfam's summary of the family: Transfer RNA (tRNA) molecules are approximately 80 nucleotides in length. RNAcentral also lists the same sequence under 1 other name. The record is from RNAcentral. Lineage: Bacteria; Pseudomonadati; Pseudomonadota; Alphaproteobacteria.